UUAAUUGACCUCCUGUGCCUCUGUGGUCCCGUUCCCUGGUGUUUAAAUGAAAAGAGGACACACACACACAACCGCACUGCACGGUGUUUCCCAGGUACACUGAGGAAGACAAUAAAAAAUAAAUAAAUCUGCUGUCUCUCAAUAUUUAUCGUAAUUUACAGUGUUUUGUUGUGUGAGGAGCAGACUACUGGGGUGAUUUGUGCACAGGUAAGUGGCAGUAGGUGGAUGAGUGUGUGUAACGAGUGUAUUAAUGUGUGUGAGGGAAAUAAAGGGGUGUGAGGUAUGACGGGCCAGCCUGCCGCAGCUCACCCCUGGCCUGUUAAACCUUCCGUCAGACUUAAACUAGGCAGUGGCGGUUAGGUCUGACCAGCGGACAUGAAAGCAUAGUCAUGUGGCUCCAUUCACUGCCACGGGUGACUUAUGGUGACGAGAAAUAAAGUAAAUAAUGGCUAAUAUAUACGGACGUCCGGAUCAUCAGUCUGCUUAUAUUUUUUAAAAAGUUGAAUUUUGGCGGGUUUUCAUUUCACGGAAGAGUUCAUUUGUUAAUAUUUCGUCAUGCGGGUUACGUUGAAACUAAAUAUUACGAGUAUGACUAAAUAAAAAGCCGAAAUAAUGUAAAAAAAAAAAAAAUAAUAAUGAAGGUACCGUGGAUUGGCAACACUUACAAUGUAAACAAACAGCUGAUCACGGGUCCGGAGCGAGGCAAGGAGAUAAAAUUAAUAAUAAACGAAGGAAAUAGAGCAAAUAGAAGGACGACAGCAGGCAGAGAGGGGCAGGAGAAGUAGCAGAAUCAGGGAAAGGCGUAUUGGUGCCAGUAAAUAAGGUGAGCGGUCACAGGGCCAACCCACUUCCUGCCGACACUUGAUUUGGGGCUUCGGAAAACAAGGGCACCAGUCAGCCUUGUACCUGCGCCGUCCACGAGUGCCCUCACCGGCCUGUCAUUGCACGUUGCCAGGGAAGCAAGAACGUGGAGGCUAGAGUAACAGGGGAACGAGCGGUGGCCAUCAGGGACGUGAGAGGCCUCCAGCAGUAUGCCUGGAGAUACUUGUGUGUGGAUGAGGGACGCAGACUCAAGAACCACAAGUGUAGGCUGACCAAGGUAACAGGGACGUGAGGGGUCUCCAGCAGCAUGCCUGAAGAUACUUGUGUGUGGACGAGGGACACACACUCAUUGGCUAUUGUAGGCUGUAUCUCUCUCUCUCUCUCUCUCUCUCUCUCUC
Molecule: long non-coding RNA, 1220 nt
Organism: Scylla paramamosain (green mud crab)
Lineage: Eukaryota; Metazoa; Arthropoda; Malacostraca; Decapoda; Portunidae
Exons: 4
Source: RefSeq, a predicted model, not a curated record